GCCAGGUGUGGUAGUGCAUACCUGUAGUCCCAGCUACUCGGGAGGCUGAGGCAGGAGAAUCGCUUGAGCCCGGGAGGUCGAGGCUGCAGUGAGCGGUGGUCACGCCACUGCACUCCAGCCUGGGUGACAGAGCGAGACCCUGUCUCAA
This 148-nucleotide signal recognition particle RNA is filed under the name Pan troglodytes (chimpanzee). RNAcentral describes it as "Metazoan signal recognition particle RNA". It matches the Rfam family "Metazoan signal recognition particle RNA". From Rfam's summary of the family: The signal recognition particle (SRP) is a universally conserved ribonucleoprotein. It is involved in the co-translational targeting of proteins to membranes. The eukaryotic SRP consists of a 300-nucleotide 7S RNA and six proteins: SRPs 72, 68, 54, 19, 14, and 9. Lineage: Eukaryota; Metazoa; Chordata; Mammalia; Primates; Hominidae. The record is from Rfam by way of RNAcentral.